RNAcentral lists this long non-coding RNA (377 nucleotides) under Aquilegia coerulea. RNAcentral describes it as "long non-coding RNA (ACOE_LNC000053)". Lineage: Eukaryota; Viridiplantae; Streptophyta; Magnoliopsida; Ranunculales; Ranunculaceae. The record is from RNAcentral.
AAAUGACUUGAUAUUAUUGAAUAAAAGUGGCUGUUAUAUAGCCUUACAAAUAAACCAAAUAGCUAGAAAAUAGCUCAACUAACAGAAACGUGGUAAAAGAAAAAAUCAAAGCAGAAACACCAAAGAAAGUGUCCACUGUGAACAACUCUUCCUAGAUACUAGGAACCUUAUUCAAUCUAAAAACUAAAACCUUUUCAUUCCUUCCCUUAAACUUACUGCAAAUUGCAGUCAGUUUAUAUCGAGAACUUCUCCAACACCCAACAACUCUCUUAACUUCAGAAAGGCAUCGAGCUUCAACGGUUUGGUCAUCAAAUCUGCCACCUGAUCCUGACUUCCACAAUAAGCUAAAGCAAUUGUACCUUUCUUAGUAAGAUUUC